GGGUGCUUAGCUCAGCUGGUAGAGCGGCGCCCUUACAAGGCGUAGGUCGGGGGUUCGAUCCCCUCAGCACCCACCA
Molecule: transfer RNA, 76 nt
Filed under: Cupriavidus gilardii
Lineage: Bacteria; Pseudomonadati; Pseudomonadota; Betaproteobacteria; Burkholderiales; Burkholderiaceae
Also listed under: 38 other names
Description: tRNA-Val
Rfam family: tRNA
About the family: Transfer RNA (tRNA) molecules are approximately 80 nucleotides in length. Their secondary structure includes four short double-helical elements and three loops (D, anti-codon, and T loops).
Source: RNAcentral